This 487-nucleotide long non-coding RNA is filed under the name Mytilus galloprovincialis (Mediterranean mussel). The record is from RNAcentral. Lineage: Eukaryota; Metazoa; Mollusca; Bivalvia; Mytilida; Mytilidae.
CCCUGAUUUUAUGAUAGGGUUUGCGUUGCUCGGUCUUUAAUUUAGUAUUCUAUGUAGUGUUUAGUGUUUCGUAGUCAUUGAGCGUUUUUUUUUUAUAUAUUUUUUCCAUGACGUUGUGAUUUUUUUUUCUGCUUUCUUUUAUUUUUGUAGUUCAAAUUUUGAAAUAUUUGUCAUCUUUACCGUUCUUCUAUGUAUUUUAUUUCUCAUUUUCACACCUGGCAGUUUAUCAUAACUAUAUGACAAAUUGUUUUUUAUUCGUUUUGUAUAUUGUUUUCAUUAGCAAUAUAAUGAGAAUUGUGGCCUUUUCUCACUCAAUAUGACAUCUCACCUAUCUCAUAUAUUUUUAAGAUAUAUUCCUGCUGUUAGGAUCGAAAUAGAUUACUUAAAUAAUAAUUACGUAUUCUUAAAUCUCGCAAACUGUACUAAUGAGAAGUCAACACAUUUUUGACAUUUUAUUGGCGUAUAUAACCAAAAUAAGUAAAACGUG